This is a non-coding RNA of Delphinapterus leucas (beluga whale), 3240 nucleotides long. Lineage: Eukaryota; Metazoa; Chordata; Mammalia; Artiodactyla; Monodontidae. The record is from RefSeq and is a predicted model, not a curated record.
UCGCGCCCCCGCGCCCUCGCGCCCUCGCACCGGGGGCGGGCUUGCUGCGCGUGCCGGGCGGGGAAGCGGCGCGAGCCGGGUUCCUGAGAACGUUCGUCGCGGGGGCGGCUCCGGGGCCUGAGCGGGCGCCGCCACCGCCUCAGCCUCGGAGGCCGGGCCGGAGGAGGCAGAGGAGGCUGCGGCCGCCGGAGACCUUUUCGACGCCCCCAGCUCCGGCCGGGAAGAUGAUUGAGGAAAGUGGGAACAAGCGGAAGACCAUGGCAGAGAAGAGGCAGCUGUUCAUAGAAAUGCGUGCUCAGAAUUUUGAUGUCAUACGACUAUCAACUUACAGAACAGCUUGCAAAUUGCGAUUUGUGCAAAAACGAUGCAACCUCCAUCUUGUUGAUAUCUGGAACAUGAUUGAAGCCUUCCGAGACAAUGGCCUUAAUACACUGGACCAUACCACUGAGAUCAGUGUGUCUCGCCUCGAGACCGUCAUCUCAUCCAUCUACUACCAGCUGAACAAGCGCCUUCCUUCUACUCACCAAAUCAGUGUGGAACAGUCCAUCAGCCUCCUCCUCAACUUUAUGAUUGCUGCAUAUGACAGUGAGGGCCGAGGCAAGUUGACGGUAUUUUCAGUUAAAGCUAUGUUAGCAACCAUGUGUGGUGGAAAAAUGCUGGACAAAUUGAGAUAUGUUUUCUCCCAGAUGUCAGAUUCCAAUGGCUUAAUGAUAUUUAGCAAGUUUGACCAGUUUCUGAAGGAAGUUCUGAAGCUCCCAACAGCUGUCUUUGAAGGGCCAUCUUUUGGUUACACAGAGCACUCAGUCCGCACCUGUUUUCCACAGCAGAAAAAGAUAAUGCUAAAUACGUUUUUAGACACCAUGAUGGCCGACCCUCCUCCCCAGUGCCUUGUCUGGCUACCUCUCAUGCAUAGGCUUGCCCACGUUGAGAAUGUCUUCCACCCCGUGGAGUGCUCCUAUUGCCGGUGUGAGAGUAUGAUGGGUUUCCGGUACCGAUGCCAGCAGUGCCACAACUACCAGCUCUGCCAGAAUUGCUUUUGGCGUGGCCAUGCCAAUGGCCCUCACAGCAACCAGCACCAGAUGAAGGAGCAUUCCUCUUGGAAAUCCCCUGCAAAGAAGCUGAGCCACGCAAUUAGUAAAUCCUUGGGGUGUGUACCCACCAGAGAACCUCCGCAUCCUGUUUUUCCUGAACAACCAGAGAAACCACUUGACCUUGCAAAUAUAGUUCCUCCUCGCCCUCUGACGAAUGUGAAUGACACCAUGGUGAGCCACAUGUCCUCUGGGGCGCCCACUCCCACCAAGAGGUUACAGUAUAGCCAGGAUAUACCCAGUCACUUGGCCGAUGAGCAUGCGCUGAUAGCCUCCUUUGUGGCCCGUCUGCAGCACUGUGCACGUGUCCUGGACAGUCCUAGCCGACUGGAUGAGGAACACCGGCUUAUAGCUCGCUAUGCUGCCCGGCUGGCUGCAGAGGCAGGAAACAUGACCCGUCCUCCCGCCGACUUGAGCUUUAACUUUGAUGCCAACAAACAACAAAGACAGCUUAUUGCAGAACUGGAAAACAAAAACAGAGAGAUCCUGCAGGAGAUUCAGCGUCUCCGUCUAGAGCAUGAGCAGGCUUCCCAGCCCACCCCGGAGAAGGCCCAGCAGAACCCCACACUGCUGGCAGAGCUGCGGCUGCUGAGGCAGAGGAAAGAUGAACUGGAGCAGAGGAUGUCAGCACUGCAGGAGAGCAGGCGGGAACUGAUGGUCCAGCUGGAAGGGCUGAUGAAGCUGCUGAAGGAGGAGGAGCAAAAACAGGCAGCUCAGGCCACAGGAUCGCCACAGACGUCGCCCACUCACGGAGGCAGCCGCCCGAUGCCCAUGCCCGUGCACUCCACCUCCGCUGGCUCCACACCCACCCACUGCCCGCAGGACCCGCUGAGCGGAGUUGGCGGGGACGUGCAGGAGGCCUUCGCCCAGGGUACAAGGAGAGACCUCCGCAAUGACCUGCUGGUGGCCGCUGACUCCAUCACCAGCACCAUGUCAUCCCUGGUGAAGGAGCUCCACUCAGCAGGGGAAGGUGCAGAGGAAGAAGAAGAGAAGAUGCAGAAUGGGAAAGACAGAGGUUAGCGGAGGAGCCGGGACAGAGAGGAAGCGCGGUCUUUUCUUCCCUCCGCUCCCCCACCUCUUGUGUUUGAAAGUUAGGCCAUCUUCCUCAGUUACAGAUCUUCCAGGCAGAAAAGCCAGGGCUGCAGCCCACGAUCCAGAAAAGGAACUUUCCCAGGCCCUUCUCAGCAGUAUUAUCCUGGAGCAGCCUCCGGGCUUUUCCUGACACCCCCGACUUCCCCCGUCUGCACCAACCCGUUGGUUCUGUCCUGCUGGCACUCCAGGACCUGCUGUCUCUGAGCCUCCACUGACUCAGGGAUCGUGCAAGCUAAAGAUGGGCAGUGCAAGCUGCGGAAAUUGUCUCGCUGCCCUGGAAACCACGGACCCUCCAAGGCUGGGGCAGGCUUCUCCCUGAACUCACUGCGCAUGCAGACGAGGCCCUUCCUGACAGCAGGCCUUGGCUGCCGCAGCCACGAGGCAGUCAGGAGCUGACUUGCCCUCGGGGAGCCUGUCAGAGCCCCUCUCCUCGGGGCACACAGGAACUGGGGGACGAGGAGAGGCGUGUCUGCCACCUGGCCCACCACUCUUCGUGCACAUGAGGAAACUAAGGCCCACCACCCAGGAGCUCGGUGCCGGAACUGGAAUCGGAGCUGGGUCCUCUGCUCCUAGUGCUGUCCUCUGACCCCAGGAGGAAUAUUGAGAAACUCACCACUAGUGGAGAGUCAAAUGGAAAGCCUGCACACUCAGGUGGACCCUUAAGUUCUGCUGUCUUCGGGCACGCGGCUAGGCUUUCUCCCCUUCCACUCAGCGCUUCUCAGCACAUCUCUGCCCUUCUCCUCAGUCACGAUUCUUCUUCCCAUGGAACCACCACAUUCCAAACCUUGCACUGUGAACAGUUCUUUCUUUCCUGGAAACAUUUCCUGACCCUGUGACCUAAGCAAGGACUCCAAAGACUCGAGAUACCCCCAGAAAAGAGAAUGCCCCCUUCCCUGAAAGGGGGUGUGAGUAUUGUCACUCUUGGCAUAUCCCGAGUUGAAAGGCACAGGGGACGUGGAGUGAGCUGGCACCGACAGGAGGAAGGCGAGGUGUUCCCCCAGAGGCGCAUUCCUGUCCGUCUCUCCGCUGCUCACCUGGACCAGGCUUGCAGGCUGCCAGA